GCUGCUGUGAAGAGAACAAUUGUCAGACUGAAUGUUGAACAUCAGCUAGUUUCUCCUGUUGAUUUAAACCUUGUUGUAGACAUGGAACAUUGGCUGUGGAUUAUUCUUGCUGCUCUUUUCUUUGAGUGUAAAGGAGAAGACAGAGUGAACCAGACAACAGGAGAUGUCAUCGCUACUGAAGGACACACAAUCACACUGGACUGUACAUUUGUGACCAGUGACCAAAAUCCCACUUUGUUCUGGUACAAACAGGAAGUUCAUGAUUCCCCAAAGUACAUGCUGAAAAGUUUCUCAAAAAACGUAGAUAAAGCUCCAGAAUUCCAGAAAGACAGAUUUGAUGCUAGAAUCAACAAGAAAUCAGUUCCUCUGAAGAUCCAGAAGCUUCAGCUGUCAGACUCUGCUGUGUACUACUGUGCUCUGCAGCCCACAGUGACAGGAAACACCAAAACUCUGUACAAAAACCUUUGGAGCAAAGACAACACAAUACUCCACAACGUCCACUAGAGGGAGUCACACUCUGUUCCACUUCAACA
Molecule: non-coding RNA, 533 nt
Organism: Sebastes umbrosus (honeycomb rockfish)
Lineage: Eukaryota; Metazoa; Chordata; Actinopteri; Perciformes; Sebastidae
Source: the annotation of a RefSeq genome assembly